RNAcentral lists this transfer RNA (77 nucleotides) under Candidatus Doudnabacteria bacterium CG10_big_fil_rev_8_21_14_0_10_42_18. RNAcentral's name for it is "tRNA-Lys". It matches the Rfam family "tRNA". From Rfam's summary of the family: Transfer RNA (tRNA) molecules are approximately 80 nucleotides in length. Their secondary structure includes four short double-helical elements and three loops (D, anti-codon, and T loops). Further hydrogen bonds mediate the characteristic L-shaped molecular structure. tRNAs have two regions of fundamental functional importance: the anti-codon, which is responsible for specific mRNA codon recognition, and the 3' end, to which the tRNAs corresponding amino acid is attached (by aminoacyl-tRNA synthetases). tRNAs cope with the degeneracy of the genetic code in two manners: having more than one tRNA (with a specific anti-codon) for a particular amino acid; and 'wobble' base-pairing, i.e. permitting non-standard base-pairing at the 3rd anti-codon position. The record is from RNAcentral. Lineage: Bacteria; Candidatus Doudnaibacteriota.
GCGCCCAUAGCUCAGCCUGGUAGAGCAGUUGCCUUUUAAGCAAACGGUCGCAGGUUCAAAUCCUGCUGGGCGCACCA